Molecule: non-coding RNA, 101 nt
Filed under: Apaloderma vittatum (bar-tailed trogon)
Lineage: Eukaryota; Metazoa; Chordata; Aves; Trogoniformes; Trogonidae
Description: Eukaryotic large subunit ribosomal RNA
Rfam family: Eukaryotic large subunit ribosomal RNA
Source: Rfam by way of RNAcentral
GAUAACAACCCUAUCUUUGUGAAACAGAAUUUACCAAGUGUUGGAUUGUUCACCCACUAAUAGGGAACGUGAGCCAGGAUUAGGCCGUCGUGAGACAGGUU